CUGCUGGUUUCUUUAAAACUUCGGAAGUUUUCCAAGGCCUAAGAGUAUGAAGAAACCCUACUCCGGAACAAUUACAAGAAUGGGAUCUACACUGUCAAGUCUGCCUAUCUUUUGUAAUUAAGGUGGAUCAAGCUUGAUCAAUCUUUCCCUGUACAUAUGGCUUUGCACUGCCUUAGUGCCUUUCAUUAGUAUAAUUCUUUUACCAGUCUCAAAAGAAAAUACCCAACUUAUGAUGAUGAAAGGGGCAGUUGCAUACUAACAUAUAUUGAAGUUCUGAGCGAUUAGCAAAGCACUAAUAUUAAGAUAAGAAAAAGGUAAUUUAUCUAAAGUUUAAACAAAAGAAAACGAGGGUCGGGUUAACACCGAAAAUAAGAUGAUUUGAGGUUUUGAGCGCCCUUUUUUCCAUCUUAGAUCAAGCAUAAAUGCAGAGACAAAGAGCAAAUAAAUAUACUGGUAACAAAAAGGGAAGGCAAGAUAGGAGUUAACCCACAUCAUGGAACCUCUAUAUCUGUAGUAAUCUAUCUAUAUAAGCCCCGAGAAUGAUCACAAAUGUCACCUUAAUUGUCAUAACGUUCGCAAGGAAAACCAGAAAAUCUUAGGCGAAGGAGAGAGACCGAGAAGGCAAAGAUUGUAGAGAUCCGUAAACAAAUUCAAUGAACAUACCUUGUGAAAAUUGAAGAUUAAAUCCAGCUCACAGACCUGAAGGGAAAGAAAGCCAGCAACAUAAAUAUAAAACAGAAUAAGAAGUAAUACAGUCAAACCUCUCUAUAACAACCAUGUAUGUUCCAAUAUUUUUUGGCUGUUAAAAAAAUGUUGUUAUAAAGGACAUAUAUUAUAACAUAAUAUAGAAUCGGUUCCGAGAAAAACUUGUCUUUUCUAGUGAACGGCUAUAAUAUAGGAAAUUUGUUAUAGAGAGGUCUAACUAUAUCAUCUUAGUAGCUUUACCCAAUCAAAAUGCAAUUCAGAAACUCAAUCAAAAAAAGUUGCUUUAAAGUUUGAGAGCCUUACACUU
This 1012-nucleotide long non-coding RNA is filed under the name Nicotiana benthamiana. Its description in RNAcentral is "long non-coding RNA (NBEN_LNC025667)". The record is from RNAcentral. Lineage: Eukaryota; Viridiplantae; Streptophyta; Magnoliopsida; Solanales; Solanaceae.